UACAGAGGUCUCAAGCGUUGUUCGGAUUCAUUGGGCGUAAAGGGUGCGUAGGCGGCGCGGUAAGUCGGGUGUGAAAUCUCGGAGCUUAACUCCGAAACUGCAUUCGAUACUGCCGUGCUUGAGGACUGGAGAGGAGACUGGAAUUUACGGUGUAGCGGUGAAAUGCGUAGAUAUCAGGAGGAACACCGAUGGCGAAGGCAGCUCGCUGGGACGGUACUGACGCUGAGGCGCGAAAGCGUGGGGAGCGAACAGG
Molecule: ribosomal RNA, 253 nt
Filed under: uncultured bacterium
Lineage: Bacteria
Description: partial 16S ribosomal RNA
Rfam family: Bacterial small subunit ribosomal RNA
Source: RNAcentral